ACACUCCCGUCCCACUCCCAAAUCCCAGGCUCCCAACCCAGCCCGACAAGAGACAGCCGCAACCCCUAUUCAAUUCGAGCAAUCGAGCCCUAGAAUCACAGAUUCACAAGCCCCUAAAUCUGAUCAACCAGACAACCAGUAGCUGGAGAGGCGGAGCCUGGAGUUUAUUACCAGAGAGCACCGCAGCCGCUGCCCUAUUCGAUUCUUCACCAUGACGACUGACGAUCCACGGCCCGCUAGCAUCUUUGUUUGGACUUCAGAGAGCCAGCACGACGAGAGGAGAGAGUGAGAGACGGAGACCCUUCGGCCUUCAGUUCUUCUUUAGGCCUUUGUGAGUUCGUCGUGAACCCUUUGAGCUUCGAACCAGCAAGGCUGCAGCCUGCAGAAGCUUUUGCUACACAAACACAGCUACAUAUAACAGAAUACCCUUCGCACACGAGGAGAAGAAGAUGAAAGUUUUGAUGUCACAAAUGAAAGCAUUUCAAUUAAUUCAAGACAUUCAAAUGAUUUUGAAAUUAUUUGAAGGAUGGGUUGAGAUUUUUUUAGUUUGUUGAUAGUUUUAUUUUGAGAGAUUCACACGAUUUGAAAAUAGUUGUAUUUAAAGAAACUCACAUGCUUUAAGAAAUGUUUAGAUUUUAGACUCACUCGAGUCACUCGAUUUGAGUUUCUAUUUUGAGUUAGAUUGGGAUUAA
Long non-coding RNA from Malania oleifera, 692 nucleotides. RefSeq lists it as uncharacterized. The record is from RefSeq and is a predicted model, not a curated record. The transcript is spliced from 2 exons. Lineage: Eukaryota; Viridiplantae; Streptophyta; Magnoliopsida; Santalales; Ximeniaceae.